Molecule: long non-coding RNA, 4980 nt
Organism: Aethalodelphis obliquidens (Pacific white-sided dolphin)
Lineage: Eukaryota; Metazoa; Chordata; Mammalia; Artiodactyla; Delphinidae
Exons: 3
Source: RefSeq, a predicted model, not a curated record
AGGAAAAGGGAAUUCAAUUUUUUAAAUCCAAACUAAGUUUAUGUUCAUUUUCUUUGAAAUCUGUUUUAUUUUGUUUUCAUUCUGAUUUUAAGAAUAACCAAUUAAAGUCCACAGGUACUUUUAUUCAAAAUCAGGGUGUGUGUGUAUGUGCCUAUCAUGAAACUCGACACAUUAAUAAGGUUUCCAAACCUCUGUCACCAACACCCCACUUUGUUACUCCUACUAAUGGGCCCUCAUUUAAAAACACUUUCUACUUUAAACUGCAUUGAUAAAGAAACAAUUCAUUUUCCCAUUGAAAAUGUACCAAAGAUGGCUAAUUGCCAAUCAAAGCUUCUAAUCAAAAUGAGAUAACCAGGGUUCUGAAUUCUAGCUCAGGGUAAAGCAGUAGGAUACUUGAAUGUGAGCCCUUCUCAACUUUUCAUGGGAAAAGUAUGCUGUUCGAUUAUUUGAAAAUUUGACAGGAAGAUAGCUUGAAGAUCCCCAUUAUUGUUAUCAAAACCCCUAGAGAUCCAGGGACUCGGCGAACAGACUGGGGCACGGUUGGCACAAGACAGGCAAGAACCUUCUAGAACUCACCUGGGGUUUUAGUCACCUCCCUUUGCUCCCUCUUGUCCUGACCCAGCCUUGUUUUCAAUUCAGCCUCUUGUGAUCUGGCAAAUAGCUUUCUCCAUUUCCCUCAACAAAACAGGACUCGUGUUUGAUCCCCAAAUACCUCACCCUGAAAAAUGAGAAUAAUUGAUAUCUAAUACUCUUCCUCUGAAAAGGUUUUUUAUUUUUGCUGCAGUUUCUCUUAAUUCAUUUUAGAAGUGUUGUAACACUAAUUUCAUAGUUAUGUAUUUUUAAAGUGCAUUCCCUUUGAUAAAAACCACCAUGGUAAGAAUUUUAAAAAGAAGGUUACCCUCUUUUCCUAAAAAACAAUAAAGCACAGGGAUGUAAGACAAGAACAGGAUCUGCCCUGCACUAAUGCAGCAUGAAAGAACAGUUUAAAAAGGACAAGGAAAAUGGUACAUUAUCUCAUUUUGGGGGGAGUGAAGGGGAUGAAUUAAGGCCACAACAAAACGAAACUGAAAAAUUGCUAAAUGAAGCUCUGAGUGGGGAAAAUGAAAAAUCAAUGAAGGAAUGGAGGGGAAAAGGUACAUUUUUCAUCUUCAUGAUGCUUGAUUGGGUUUGUAGAAAUUCAUUUUCAAUUAAUGUGUCUUGUGGCAUUCAGCCAGGCCAGAUAUGAACAGGGCACACAUUUUAAUCAAUUUUUUUCUAUUAAGUUUGAAGUAAUAUAUAAUAAUAGAACUAUACUAUUCAAAAGGAUCGGUUGAAACUGGCUUCUGAGGUAAAAUAAUCUAAUGUGGUUUGAUUUCUAUCUUAUAUUAAAGAUAACCCAACUUCUGUUUAAGAAGAAAUAGCACCCUGGGUGCCUGAACAUGACUGGGCCAUGUAAACACCAGGAAAGGAUGGAUAAACUGGUGUUCCAAUCUGUGUGCAUUCACUGGGAAGGAAGAAAAAGGGGUGUACCGAGCACCAGGGCUUUUGCUGGCUUAGCUCAUUAUUCUCAGAAACAACCCUAAGAGUCGUUAUCCCCAUAGAUGAGGGAACUGGGGUUCCUACAGUUUCAUUGUCUGUUCAUUCCUUAACAAUCAGCUGUGAUCCCCUCUGCAUCGGGCCCAGUGCUAGAUUCCGGGAGCACAGCAGUGAGCCAGGAAGACCUGGUCUCCACUUUCGGGGAAUCAACAUCCCAGUGAGGCAGUAAAUGGAGAAAGAAACACACACAUUAGCGCAAUAAGGAAGCAGGCAGAAUGACGUUAGGUCUCCCCACCUACCAAGAGAUAGGAUGCACCUGCCGUCUGCCGACGGGGUGAGGGAAAGGUUCAGACCACAGGGCUAAAGAGGUAACCAGCUCGUUCCAGCUUGCCCGGAACUUUCUAGGUUCUAGUCUCAUGAGUCAGGAACCUUCUCAUUCGCAGGCAAACCAGGACAGGUGGUCACCCUAGAGCUCGACUCUGGCAGGGCUGAGAUCUAAACCCACUUCUCUUUGAUGACAAGGCCCAGGCUCUUCCGUUCACACCAGCCUGACGUCCAGAGGUCUAGCUUCCCUAUGACGACAACCUAUCGCGGCAAUGCUGCCUAGAAAUCAGGCCAGGCUGGGAAGAAUACUGGCAGCUCAUCACACACACACACACGCCACCUCUUCCCAGCAGAGAAAGUACAAGUGUUCUUCGAACCACGAACGAUAAAAGGAACUGCUUCCGACCCAGAGCAAGCUACCAUUUUGUCAUCUUCCAAAGAGCCAGAGACUAAAUCUGGAGAAGAGCUCGUGGGACAUGAUCUGGAAACAGUUCAAUUGAGCAGGUUCCGCCCAGCCUUGUGCUCCUCCCUGAUCUCCUGGUUCCUUUAACGGCAAGCUAAAGAACUCAGCGGGAUUCCAGACGGCUUGUCAACAGAAGAAUGAAGCCCAAGGGCAAGGACGACUGGAACUCAGCUAACACCAGAUGAUAAGAUCCAUGAGGGCAGGACCACAUCUGCCCCGCUCCCCACUGGGUACCCAGCCCCACCACAGAGAAAAUGCCGGUGGGUGACUGGUAAAUGGAUGGAUGAGUGAGUUUCCUCAUGAAUGCUAUUUUUUUCAGUCCCUCUGUAUUUUCUGGCAAACCCUUGAAAGUCUAAAAGGGGCAUAUUUGGGCUUGUGUGUGUGUGUGUGUGUGUUUUUCUUUCAGAUCCAGAACCAGUCAGAAGAACUAGUGAUGGGAGGGAGAUGACCAAUCCCUGUCUAACACCACAAAAGGAGACUUAAUUUGGUACAAAGAUCUAGCCAAGUGGGGGUAUGUGCUCCCACACUUCACGCAGGACGCUUUGUAUCUUUUCUCAAUGAACUUGACCCCAUAGGAUACAUAAUCCUUCAUUUCAAAAGGGCCCAUCCUGCCCCCUUCUUACAUGCACAAAUCCCUACUGAAAUAUACUGUCCCACACAAUGAAAAGUCAUUAUUGAGCUAAGGACUGCAACACCUACGCUGGUUAAUUUUUAUUCAAUAUGUCGUCAUCAUUAUUAUUAUUAUUAUUAGAAAUUACACUCCACUGAGGUGGAAGUAAAUAUGCUGCUUAACGUUUAAGGAUUCCAAGAACCUCAGUAAUAAUACCUGGAUGUUUUGAGCUAAAAAAAGAAGCCCAUCAUUUUAAUAAACUAACUUCAUUCACAGACACUGUGAUUCAGAUGACAGCAACAAUGGAUGGGAACUAGAUUCCUACCCCUGGUGAGUGUGAAGCCAUCACAGGGACAAGCUUUCAGACUUAACGUGAGGGAAGGAAAACUGUCCCUAACACUGGUGACACGUAAAGGUUGCCUUUAUUUCCAGGUCAAAUUUGUCUCAAUAUCUGGGUGGCUGGAGUUCACAGAUAGAAAGACACUUCUCAAGUCAGAGUUCAAGAUGCCACACAUGACUAAUUCAGCUGUCUGGAUUUUUCAAACUUUGGUCCAAAUGACUUGAACCAAUUUAAUAUGUCUUUGCUGCUUUCACUCAUUAUGCAAAGCAAUGAAAAGGCUGAGAUCCUAACAACAGGCACAGCCUAGUAAACAAUAGAGAAUUCUUUAUAUAAGGAGCUUCUAUCCCGACUUCUCUCCUCAUAAAAUGCACCCGUGAUUAAAGGCUACAUACACUUCCCAGGACAGCCAAUACUAGAAAUGUUUCCUUUAUGUUGAACAGAAAGCUGAAAUUUGCCACCCAGUGGCUCCAGCCUGGCUUUGCACUGCAACACAAACAAAAAUAUAUUCCAUCUUCUCCAUGACCGUUUUUUAAGAUGUGAAUUCACCUCUCACGUCUCCCCUUUUGCCCAUGUCUUGCCUGAGUGCUUCAACCACUCCCUGGAUUACUGUAGUUCUCAACUCCUUUCCAGCCUGAUCCUGAACAUCUCAAUGUGCUCAUUUGUCCCUUUUCCAUGGUUCUAACUUCUAAGAAAAGUAUUCACAUAAAUGGCUAGAGCAAUUGAAAUUUUAAACCAUCCUUUUGUUGUAUGAGUUAAUACAGUGUACUGGACAAAUACAUUAAUCCUUACCACCUGAUUUAAGUAGUUGUUAGUUUAAAUUUAGAAUUAAAGCUCUCUUCCUCUGUCUCUUAACUGUUGAAACUCAGCUGGCCCCUAGGUGGUGCUCAUUCUGACAGUGCCAUCCUAAAUUUCAGCCUGUCAUUUCAUGCCCAUGGCUGGGUCUUUCAGACCACAUCAUCAGCACUUAGAGAAGCUCUAUUUAGGAGAUAUUAAAUCACAGGUAGUAAAGCAAGGCAUGGACAGUGAUCUUUAUAUGCUUCCCUAUUUUCAUAUAUAAAUAUUCCCCUACUUUCAAAUUGGUAUGUCUAUUAGAGUCCGGAAGUCACUUAGAAAACAGAAUUCUAAACUACUUGAAAAUGUCUUUUAAAAAAGACCCAUCAUUAAACGCUUACAGAUGAUAACUCAAUCAGAAGCCAAGGCAUAUGAGGUUUUGUUCACUGGUUCUCUAAUAUUCGACAGGGAAACAACGCAGACAGCACCCUGCAGUGAGGCAGGAGAAAUGGAGUGCACCACAGCCAAGGAGCCCCACGGGGAAAUGAGGGACAGCCUUGCCCCAGACUUCAUGUGUGUGAAGUUCAGAAGCAGAAAAGCUAUGAUCUAACAGCCAUGGUUCCAGAGAUGCUAAAUGUGACAAAGCAAUGCUUUUCCUUGGGAAACACACUCCUGACAACUACCCAAUGCUGAUAUACGGCAAGACCUACCCAUCCCGGUUGCUGGCACUGUUCCUGCUUGGCAGUGCCAAGGAACUGUGAAAGUACAUGCGGGGUUUCCUCAUCUGAGCCUUUGUUCCCCAUUCUCUUAUUCUACUGAGCCCUGAGACUGACACACGGGCCAAUCACACUGUGUGACUGGGUUUCUCGUUUGGGAGCAGAUUUUAUCUAAUGUGUACGUUUAUCCUACACACAAUAAAAAAAAAAGGUGUAAAGGUGUCCCUGCCCAUCCUCACAA